Molecule: long non-coding RNA, 2556 nt
Filed under: Sus scrofa (pig)
Lineage: Eukaryota; Metazoa; Chordata; Mammalia; Artiodactyla; Suidae
Description: lncRNA (ENSSSCG00025077091.1)
Source: RNAcentral
UUUUGUUUUAGGGCCACACCCAUGGUAUAUGGAGGUUCCCAGGCUAGGGGUCUAAUCAGAGCUGCAGUUACUGGUCUAUGCCAUAGCCACAGCAACACCACAUCUGAGCCGCAUCUACGACCUACACCACAGCUCACAACAACACCGGAUCCUUAACUCACUUAGCGAGGCCAGGGAUCAAACCCGCAACCUCAUGGUUUCUAGUUGGAUUCAUUUCCACUGCACCAUGAUGGGAACUCCCAAAAUUUUAUUUUUAUUUUGUUAUUAUUUACUCAUACCAUAAAUCUACAUUGUAGCUAAUGAAGUAAGUCCUUAUUCUAUAAAAGUUUAAUAAAAUUUCUUAAUAUGUAAUAUAUCCCACUCAAUUCAAAUCUCAGCUGAACUGAAUAAUAUCAUUAUAAUAACCUAUUAAAUAUAUCAUUAACUUACUUGGCUGAGCUCUGACAGUAUAUUGGGAUACUUGCCAAUGUUUAACUGUAACAAACAGUAUUUAUGCUUAAGGUUUUAACAAGUAAAAAAUGGACCUAGUUCAGAGUCAUUAUAAGUUUUUAUUUGAUAUGCUGUUGUAAGGAGCUACAACAAUUAACAGGUAGUUAAUACAGGUUGGUUUAGGAUUAAAUACGGAUCUAGUUAUUUCCCUGAAGCUUUGCUGAGAUUCUGUGAUAAAUGUUUCUGUUACCAAAAACAAAACCAGGAUUAAAGUACGUCAACACUAUGAUGUCUGUUCUGUAUGGCUCUCUUCUUAUUUAAGCUAAGGACCCAUCUGCCUGAGAAUAAUCUCAUUAUAGUCAAUGAGCAUGAGCAGAUUCACUGUUAGCUCUUCUUGUCCUUUAUUUAUUUAUUUAUUUUUUUGUCUUUUUGACAUUUCUUGGGCCGCUCCUGCGGCAUAUAGAGGUUCCCAGGCUAGGGGUUGAAUCAGAGCUGUAGCCACCAGCCUACACCAGAGCCACAGCAACUUGGGAUCCGAGCCACGUCUGUGACCUACAGCACAGCUAAUAGCAACGCCGGACCCUUAACCCACUGAGCAAGGACAGGGAUUGAACCCGCAACCUCAUCGUUCCUAGUCGGAUUUGUUAACUACUGAGCCAGGACGGGAACUCCAUGGAUACUUUAAAUAAACUUUCAUGGUUGGCAAAAAUCAGCUUGAUACCUUCUCCACCAUUUUACAAUUCCCACUUGGGAUGAAAACACCUCUGGAAGGAAGAGGGGCUGCCAGUGCAGCAGGGCAGGCUCUGCAGACAUGAUUACAGGGCUGGAGAAACUUCUGCAUUACUCACUACAUGUCCUUGAGCCUUAUUCCUUCUAAUGACACUGUUAUGGUCUGUGGCAUCAGAUCCAGGGUGCUUCAGGAGUGCCCAAGAUCAGAUCCCUGACCUUGGCCAGCUCUAAUGAACUGAGUAACCAGACACAUGAGUCCUUUUGGCUCCCUGGCAUCCUGGGUUGCUUUGAAAUAUGACACCUGCUCGCAUUACUGUCCCAGUUAGGAGAACUUGUCCAUUUGGGGUUUCACUCCAGAUUCCUUUUAACGGUGUACGUUUUCUGAAAUGAACACAUACAUUUAUGGAACGAUUUUUUUCUGCUAACAAUUAGGGCAUAUGAAUUGUGCUUAUCUCCAAUAAAGAGGAGAAACAGUGACCAGAGGAAUCAAGAGUAUAAAGAAGAAAAAAUCAGAAUUACUUUUCAAUAAACAUCUCAGACUGAGUAACAAAUUACUGUAACAAUAAUACUUUAGAAAUAAUAACAUAGCUGGGAAGUAGAAAAGAUGGGAUUUGUUUUUUUAGUUUUAUGUAAACUUUUGGUAAUAAUCCCUGUAAUCCACUUAGGUGCCAUCCCUAAAAUAUCUUUGGGAAAUACACUGAGUGCUUUUAAUAAAAUUCUGACUCAUAUUUUACAUUACUCCUCUCAAGCAUUUUGCACUGCUCUAAGAGGACCGGCUCUCACAAUUAGCAAGACCCAAUUUAAAGAUGAGCGAAUUCUCAAAAAUUACUUAAAUUGAUGGUUUUCAACUACAUAAUUUACAAAGUCUCUUUCAGUUCUAAAAUUCCGUCAUUCCCUAACUAUGCCUUCUUACAUCUCAAAAGGAAGAUGAACAAAAUUAGGAUUAACUGUCUGUAAGUAAAACAGAUUUUCUCGAUAUCUGGCUCUUCCUCCCAGGCUGGUUCACCUGCACUUAGAGGAUCACAAGCUCACCUCCUCCAGUUUCAGUACCUUUGGUUCAAGUUCUUCAAGAGCUGACAUUCCUCCCUUUACGAAGGCACAACCUUGGCCUGGAGGUCACCAUCAUGAUCCAUCCCAGCCCUCAGCAUCGGUUUCAUGGGCACAUUACCUGAAUUCGUUCAAUAGGACACACCCUUUUCUUUCAAAGUUUUUGGGAAAAGGGACUUACACUCUGCUUGGAUAAGGAAAAUUUCGGCAUGAUGAUUCUGUCAACCAACAUGUUGGAAGAGGCUACUUUGGAGUAAAGUCAAUUCAGAGGAAGCACAGCAGAGUCCAGAAGUGGAUAGGGAGACCCACAGACACCAACCUAAUAACACUGGAGUCCUUGUACCCAGCUAU